AUACGUAGGGAGCGAGCGGUUGUCCGGAAUUACUGGGCGUAAAGGGUGCGUAGGCGGUUUGGCAAGUCAGAUGUGAAAUCCCCGGGCUUAACUCGGGUGGUGCAUUUGAAACUGCUGAACUUGAGUGCAGGAGAGGAAAGCGGAAUUCCUAGUGUAGCGGCGAAAUGCGUAGAUAUUAGGAGGAACACCAGUGGCGAAGGCGGCUUUCUGGACUGUAACUGACGCUGAGGCACGAAAGCGUGGGGAGC
RNAcentral lists this ribosomal RNA (248 nucleotides) under uncultured bacterium. RNAcentral describes it as "partial 16S ribosomal RNA". It matches the Rfam family "Bacterial small subunit ribosomal RNA", at positions 523 to 769 of the family's 1533-position model. The record is from RNAcentral.